This 222-nucleotide unclassified non-coding RNA is filed under the name fungal sp. RNAcentral's name for it is "partial internal transcribed spacer region". The stretch from base 1 to 46 matches the Rfam family "Eukaryotic small subunit ribosomal RNA", at positions 1786 to 1831 of the family's 1831-position model. The record is from RNAcentral. Lineage: Eukaryota; Fungi.
AAGUCGUAACAAGGUUUCCGUAGGUGAACCUGCGGAAGGAUCAUUACAGAGUUCAUGCCCGAAAGGGUAGACCUCCCACCCUUGUGUAUUAUUACUUUGUUGCUUUGGCGAGCUGCCUUCGGGCCUUGUAUGCUCGCCAGAGAAAAUCAAAACUCUUUUUAUUAAUGUCGUCUGAGUACUAUAUAAUAGUUAAAACUUUCAACAACGGAUCUCUUGGUUCUG